This is a long non-coding RNA of Herpailurus yagouaroundi (jaguarundi), 2795 nucleotides long. RefSeq lists it as uncharacterized. The record is from RefSeq and is a predicted model, not a curated record. The transcript is spliced from 4 exons. Lineage: Eukaryota; Metazoa; Chordata; Mammalia; Carnivora; Felidae.
AUCAGGUGGAUAAAUUGAAGUUACCCAAUAUGUAUUGAUGAUAGGGGCUAUGCUCAGAAACCAAAAGUUUUUAAUUUAAUUUAAUUUAAUUUAAUUUAAUUUAAUUUUAUUUUAUUUUAUUUUUAUUAUUAUUUUUUUUAGUUACAAACAGACAAUCCCAUUUCAUCCGUUAUUAGUCCAUUAUCACAAGUGAGAUGCUAGACCAAGAUAGCACAAUUAACAAUAUGGAAACUUAUCAGAUUUAAUGACGGUGUAUUUUGAAACAGAGGUCCAGAGGUCACCCAUGCUAGGAAAAAAAAAGUCAAAUUCACCCUCAAGAUAUGAUGCUAUUAGGUAGAAAUAUAUUAGAUUGUUUUCACCAACUAGCAAAGGAGAAAAAAUACAUCUGCAGUGCUAGCAUUUAUAUCUACUUGCAUGCUUGUGUCUUUCAGUUCCUUGUCAGUGAUGCUGGAGGAGUCGAACUCCCGUUGCUACUCAGGCGACAGAGGCUAACCCUGGAUGACUUAAAUAGGAGGAGAGGAGUACUUGAAUUCAGAGCCCUGAUGGAAGACUGGAGAACAGGUUGAGACAAGUUCAGGAGCCAAGGGAGAGGGCUUUUCAUGUGACUGCAUGCAUGGUGAAUCUCCAGGAGGGAUUAUAGGACCCCCCCCCCAUCAUCCGAUUGCGACAAGGUAAAAGCACGGAAUCCAACAACCAAACAGCCAGUGACCUUGAAGCCAUAGGCAGCAUAGGAAACCGCUCCUAUCUGUAUUCAUCGAUGAUGCCUAAACUUUAGAUCGGAGUCAUAUUUAAUUUGAAAAGAUUGGGAAGCUGAAGACCAUAUCUUCACGUGCAAAUCCCAGCCUUGGCUCUCUGGCCAAUAGAGGUAAAUACAAGUCACAUGCUUGACUGAAAUCAGCACUGAAGUUGAGCUUUCUAAAAAGUUUCAUUAUUUAAUGUUUCUUUUUUCAAGCGUCCGUACUUAUGACUUUCUUGUUAUCCUUCAACAUUUGUAAAAUAGAAAGCUAACACCAUGAGAUAGAGACAUUCAUUGAAACAAAAAUCUUUUUGGGGUCUACCGUGUGAAAGGCCUGUGCUAGAUAUAAGGGGUAAACUCAUGAGUUAGACGUAUUUCCUGCCUUUAAGAGCUUUUACCUAGACUGUGAAUUGGUUUAUUUAUUUAAAAGACUUUUUUUCAGGCCGACUAUGAUCUAGGCACUGUGCUAGGAGCUCAGAUAAAGCUGUGAACAAGAAAAUAAAAGUUUCUAUUCUUUGGCACAUAGAUGCAGUGGGGGAGCCCAAUAUUAAAUCGCACAGCACAUAUUUAUUCAUUGAAUCAUUCUUGCCAUCAGAGCCACAAAGCCUUAGACCAGAAUAAGCCUGUGAGGAUAUGAUGGAACGCAUUCUCUCGGGAAGUGGCCUGUGAGCUGUGCUCUGAAGGAUGAACAGGAAUAAACGUUAUGGAGAUAUGGUUGGAGGGAGCGAGACGAGAAAUAAGAGUUUUAGAACAGGAUAGAGUUUUGCUGGUACCAGAGGCAGGGUGGCCUGACCAAGCAGGGCCUUGGAGACCGUGGGAAAGUUUCAGUCUUCAUGCUAAAUGCAAUGGGAAGACAUGGGGCAGAUUUCCUCAGGGAAGGAAUGUAAUCAGACACGCACUCUAGAAAAGUUACUCUGGUCAUGCAUAUUGAAUGGCUUGCAAGGGCAGUAAUGGAGGCAGAAAUACCAGCUAGAAGGUUGGUCUAGUAAUGCAAGGGGAAAAUGCUGGUAGGUUCAACUAGGGUAGGUGUGGGAGAAUGAUGCUGAGAGGUGUAUAGAUACAAGAGAUAUAAAUGAGUCCCAAACAACAGAACUUGAUGCUUAAUUGGAUGUGGGAGUUAUUUAGGAGAAAGUCAGGUAAAUUGCCAAAUGCAAUACGGUAUGCUAAAUGCUCUAAGAGACUAUAGAGGCAUCUGGCCUGUUGCUGGGUAUAAACAAAUGUAUAUGCAGAAAACCCCACAAAGGACCUCAAGUCAUAUAUAAUGUAUUUGAAGAGGCUAGAUGUAAAUGCUGAAAAGUUAGCUCAUAAUCAAGGCACUAAAUGCCAGUCAUCACAGGUGUGAUACAGGCACUAUGGUUUGUUGGUGUUCCCAGGUCAGUUGUGGAUAGAGGUAGCCAGGGAAAGCUUCAUGCAAUAGGCGCAAUGAGCUGGGCUUGGGCAAAGAAAGAAAGAACAAUCCUGGUGGAGAGAACACACAGAAGAGGGGGAGGAGGAAGUAAGGAUAGACAUAACAUAUUUAGAGAGUACCAAAUAGACCAGUUGUAUCAAAAUGGGAGAUUUGGGGGGAAAGAAAAAUUUGGAAAAGAUAAAAUUGGAAGUAUAGGUUAGGGGAAGCAAGGGGUUGCAGAAUUAUAUGCAAAAUUCAUAAAUACUGAUUCACAGCUGGAUUGUCAUGAGUAAGCUGUAAAUCUCCAGCACUAGGAAGAGCUCAAGUUCUCGGUCUCCUUGUGCCUUUUCUACAAUGAAAUCUCCGUCCCCCUGCCCCGCCCCAGCUUUAUUGAGAUGUGAUUGACAUACAGCAUCGUGCCACUUGAAUGGGCAAAACGUGUUGAUCUGAUGCUGGAUCAACUGGAACUGGCUAGCCAACACCCUCAUCAGGUCACAUAACUAAUGUUUCUUUUUGCGGUGAGAACAUUUAAAAUUCACUCUCUUAGCAACUUUCAAAUGUAUACUACCCAUUGAGUACUCUUGGCUCCCCUGUCAAAUAUUACUUGACUAUACAUGCCAGGAUUUAUUUCUGGGCUCUUGAUUUUGUUCGAUCCAUCUAUGUGUUUAUUUU